AAGUCGAGCGGACAGAUGGGAGCUUGCUCCCUGAUGUUAGCGGCGGACGGGUGAGUAACACGUGGGUAACCUGCCUGUAAGACUGGGAUAACUCCGGGAAACCGGGGCUAAUACCGGAUGCUUGUUUGAACCGCAUGGUUCAAACAUAAAAGGUGGCUUCGGCUACCACUUACAGAUGGACCCGCGGCGCAUUAGCUAGUUGGUGAGGUAACGGCUCACCAAGGCAACGAUGCGUAGCCGACCUGAGAGGGUGAUCGGCCACACUGGGACUGAGACACGGCCCAGACUCCUACGGGAGGCAGCAGUAGGGAAUCUUCCGCAAUGGACGAAAGUCUGACGGAGCAACGCCGCGUGAGUGAUGAAGGUUUUCGGAUCGUAAAGCUCUGUUGUUAGGGAAGAACAAGUACCGUUCGAAUAGGGCGGUACCUUGACGGUACCUAACCAGAAAGCCACGGCUAACUACGUGCCAGCAGCCGCGGUAAUACGUAGGUGGCAAGCGUUGUCCGGAAUUAUUGGGCGUAAAGGGCUCGCAGGCGGUUCCUUAAGUCUGAUGUGAAAGCCCCCGGCUCAACCGGGGAGGGUCAUUGGAAACUGGGGAACUUGAGUGCAGAAGAGGAGAGUGGAAUUCCACGUGUAGCGGUGAAAUGCGUAGAGAUGUGGAGGAA
RNAcentral lists this ribosomal RNA (665 nucleotides) under Bacillus sp. FJAT-4481. RNAcentral's name for it is "bacterial SSU rRNA". It matches the Rfam family "Bacterial small subunit ribosomal RNA", at positions 59 to 706 of the family's 1533-position model. The record is from RNAcentral. Lineage: Bacteria; Bacillati; Bacillota; Bacilli; Caryophanales; Bacillaceae.